UACGUACUGUGCGAGCGUUAUUCGGAAUCACUGGGCUUAAAGGGUGCGUAGGCGGCCAAUUAAGUAGGGUGUGAAAGGUUACGGCUCAACCGUGACAUUGCGCUCUAGACUGAUUGGCUCGAGUGAGAUAGGGGUGUGCGGAACUUCCAGUGGAGCGGUGAAAUGUGUUGAUAUUGGAAGGAACGCCGGUGGCGAAAGCGGCACACUGGGUCUUAACUGACGCUGAGGCACGAAAGCCAGGGGAGCGAACGGG
Molecule: ribosomal RNA, 253 nt
Filed under: uncultured bacterium
Lineage: Bacteria
Description: partial 16S ribosomal RNA
Rfam family: Bacterial small subunit ribosomal RNA
Source: RNAcentral